UACGUAGGGUCCGAGCGUUGUCCGGAAUUAUUGGGCGUAAAGGGCGCGUAGGCGGUCUAUUAAGUCAGGCGUGAAAGCCCCGGGCUCAACCUGGGAAUUGCGUUUGAUACUGGUAGGCUCGAGAUUCAGAGAGGUGAGUGGAAUUCCUAGUGUAGCAGUGAAAUGCGUAGAUAUUAGGAGGAACAUCAGUGGCGAAGGCGGCUCACUGGCUGAAUACUGACGCUAAGGCGCGAAAGCGUGGGGAGCAAACAGG
Molecule: ribosomal RNA, 253 nt
Filed under: uncultured bacterium
Lineage: Bacteria
Description: partial 16S ribosomal RNA
Rfam family: Bacterial small subunit ribosomal RNA
Source: RNAcentral